Molecule: long non-coding RNA, 1319 nt
Organism: Raphanus sativus (radish)
Lineage: Eukaryota; Viridiplantae; Streptophyta; Magnoliopsida; Brassicales; Brassicaceae
Exons: 2
Source: RefSeq, a predicted model, not a curated record
AACAUAUUUAGUUGUACGAGUUAUACUAGUUAUACUCAGUCGAAUGAGAAAAUGAGAUAAGAAAAUUGUGUGGCUCUGAGUUGUUCACAUGGUUGAGAUUUAAAAAAAUAAAAUAAAUGUGAUUCGAUGGCCAAGAUUAAAACACAGAAAUAAGAUCUGAUGGCUAAGGUUGAACCAUCAUUAAUGGCAAAAACGUCAUUUACAUAGCCUUUGUCCCAUGUAGAUUAAAAUAGGUGGUGACAGAUUUUUUUUCAUCCAUUUGUCCCAUUCUAGAUUAAAGUCCGAUUAUUGGUAAGGAGAGAGAGAAACUUGAUAAAGAUUGGCGUACUCUGUCUAAAGCGGAGAAUGAAGAUAAAGCUAGAGCCUUUCCUAAAUGGGUCUGCCAACACUCUCUCUUACCAUCGAUUCUUACGCCGGAAAGUUCUUCACUGAUUCCCCUUCUUCCUCUGUUUCGUGAUUUCAAAAUAUGAAAUCUUUAAACUUUGUUCCAGAAUCAGACUGGAGCAAAUGCAAGGGCUCAACAAUCCAUGGAGUCAACAGUGUUCUUGGCUCAACAACUCCUUUUGUUGUUUUACCUCCACGCAAGUCUCAAAACCUCAGCAAUGCCAAUGGAAGAAUCUUUUCUUGUUGUGUAUAAGUCUGAGUGAGCUUCUGAGUCAUCCGCUUCUCAAACUACUUCGUCGUUGCUUCAAACGUGGGUCAGAAGAAGUACAUUCAAAUAAUUCUGGCUCUAGUAUGCUUGACUAUCCAUUCCAUGUCUUAACUCGUGCAUUUGAUACUGCCAGAACUCUGAACUUGAAUUAUAUGCUAUUGAAGAAGAAAGAAAGAAAAAUUGUUGCAGCUAUAGAAGAAACAGAGAAACAAAAUGCUCAGGUUAUAACCGUCAGCUUGAGUCAAAAGGGGAAUCGCUUUUACGAACUUGAAGAUCAGUAAAAGUGGAGACAUAUUCGAUAACGCAGAGCUUCAACAAGCCAGAGAGUUGGACCCAAAGCGCUCAAGUAUACUCUAUGCAAUCUGAAAUGGACUCUCCAUUGGUUCGUUGGCAACACUAAUUUUGAUCAGCCUCUCCCUGCAAACCGUCUCGUUGCCUUCUGAUGUAUCAGCAGAUGGUUCCUUGCACGCCAAGCGAGAAGGUCCUGGUUCUAAUAACCAGUAUGGUAAAGACUUAAGUAACUCGCGAGGAGAUACAAAAUGAAAUCAGUGAACGUCGUGUGAAGCAUUUGUUGUUACAACUUGUUGUACAGCCUCUUUUUAGGUUUCAUUCUAACCCUCUUUAUUCAUAAAAUACUUUGAUUUAUAAUAACAAUAGUAGUUAUAUA